Molecule: non-coding RNA, 77 nt
Filed under: Acanthisitta chloris (rifleman)
Lineage: Eukaryota; Metazoa; Chordata; Aves; Passeriformes; Acanthisittidae
Source: RNAcentral
UUAGGCUGUUGCCUACAGUUGAUGAGCUCCAAGAACAGUGAAACCCAUUAGGUCCUAUGGUACUGUCCUAACAAGCA